This is a long non-coding RNA of Gallus gallus (chicken), 3416 nucleotides long. Lineage: Eukaryota; Metazoa; Chordata; Aves; Galliformes; Phasianidae. The record is from Ensembl.
CACCCCUUCCUACACCUCAUUUAAAGGUUGGCAGUGGGGGUGAGGGUGUCUUGCUAGAGAUCCCUGUAUACCUGAGUUCUUCCAAAGAAGAAACUACAGGCAAGAAGACUCCAGUAAAGACAAGGCACAUAGUCACAAAUAAAGGAAGACUUCAACAGUAACAGCAAAAUUAAAGUUCUGUGCCCUCAUGGUGGCUCCUUUUUGGCUGGUGUCCUCACUAACAAAUCAGACUUCUCUUGGCUGUAAAAGCUCCUGGGGGCUUGCAUGAACACUUGGCUGUUUUGCGGUGAUGUGGAAAGCAAAAUGCACUCCUCUGAAAUACCAAGUUGGACCUGGUGUGCUAGAAGAACGAUGCUGAUACUGCUAGCUGGAUAUCUAUGCUAAUAAAAAUGAUACUGUCAGAUUCAUCAGCUGUCUGUAGUUGAACCUGAUGGUUGCUGGCUGGCUCGGAUGAUUCAGAGGAUGCAAAAACCGCAAUUGACUAAAGAUACUUAAUUGUAAUGAGGGAAGUGUUACUUCGUUAUGUAGAAGAUGACAACAUCGCUUCAGAUCUGGAUGUAGACGGCCUUGGAGUUGUUGACAGUUGAAUCAAAAGACUCCAUUGCUCUUCAGCUGUUCCCCUUCUACAUUGUUUGUAGAGAAGUGUACCCAGUUCACCUAGCUUGUGUUUUGAGGAUGGCUUUUAACUACGAGCACCUACAACACCAGCCUUUCUACUAUCUGGGCUGGAGAAGCUGGAGGCUUGGUUUCCAGAAAGAAGAGCUGGUGCUGAGAGGUGGGUUCCAGGGAGAAAAUGAGGCCCAAAGAGAACAUGAAGAUCCUGACUGAAGGACAGGUCUGGGAAGUGAGGGAAGAUUCUGGAGGUGAGGUAAAUGCAUGGAGACCAAUGACAGGAGAUGCCCAGCACCAAAUAAUCGUGCCUGAGACCAGAAACUGCAAGCAGAAUCGUAGCAGAAUCCAGCAGGAGUUUCUGCCCAACCUGCUCUAGCCAACGACCUGCCUGCAGGGAAAUCAAGACCUUGGGAACAUCAUGGAGAAGCUGUAACAGCCGUAGAGAAUAAGCAUAGAAAAAAACAAACCCUGCUGAAGUUUUUGCAGAGGUGAUAUUCUUUGUUUUCCCAAGGAUUCUGGAUGAACCUUAAGGCGAGCUAUGAGAUGGAGAAGGAAGCAGAGAGGGGGAAGUGCUGCUGUUAAUUUGGCAUUCAUCUUAAGGAGCUGAAUGGCAGCCAGAAGUAGUGCAGAUGGCAUCUCAAUUCCCUCUUCUUUUGAAGAAAAUGUAUUUUUAAUACAGUAACUUUUUGUUUCCAUUAAGACAUUUUUAGCUGUGGAAUAAGGACAGUUAAAGGCAGUAGUUAAACCACCAGCUUUUAGAUGACAUUUCUGAAAGCAGUUUAUUUCCCAGAGUGAUAGAUGUAUGAAACAUAUGGUUUCUUCAAAGCCACAACCAAGGAGCUGGAUAGUAAGGAUGCAGGGGGUUAGUUGGCAGACACCCUAGGAAGGAAGCGAAAGGACACAGAACUGGUGAUAGUGUUGCUUUUGCAUAUGGGUAUGGUGGUGACAGGAGGAUUUGUCUGUAUUAAAUUGUAUUUUACACUGUUCUCGUCAAAUCCAAACUCUAAGCUUGUCCAGACAAACUGCGUUCCAGACACCUGCUCAGCUUUCUGACACCUGAUUAAAUGCAUAUCUGACUGCCAUGAGGACUGCAAAUCAGCAUGAGGUGAAAGCAUACCAUGCUUUAGGUGUGGUAUAUUAUAAACUAUUGACUCUUUCAGUAAGGGAUCUUUCGGAGAGUAAUUUUUUCAUGAACCUAUUUGUGAAACGUUCUUGUAGGUGAACUCCAAAGCAAAGAUAAAAUUUGAACUAAAAUACACAGACCUAACAAGCUGCCAUGUGCAUUUGCCCAUCAAUAAGGUAAUGCUCAUAUUUUGGUAAUUCAUUGCAUCUCUACUGUGAUCUUCAGACUUCCUAAUAUACUGAAAACAUUCCCAUAGGGCAUGAUUGGCACUGCCGUAGUACAACUCAUGAUUGAUAGCAGUAUGAAUCAGGAAGUGCCACCUGAAGGACUUUAUAAGGGAAGCUAUUUCUUGAAAUCAACAGUUAGUGUUUUGUUGUUAUUUAUUAGUGUAUUUCAACAACUAAAGAAUCUAGACCUUGAUUUUGGCAGAAAAGCAUUAAGUUGAUAUUAGAACCAUUGCUUCUGCUUCCUCUUGAGAGACAAAAUUCUGAGAUUUCACCAUUAAAUAAGUGAAAGAAUGACUAAAAGGACAUGACAACUGAAAAGGUUAGUUAUUCAAACAUUUUAUUCCCCAAACUAUUAAAUAAAUAACUAGAUAAAUAAAUGAAAGUAUUUGAUAAUGGAGAAGGUUUAUUACUCAAACAUCUUUCCAGAUCUAUCUGUGACCUCUAAAAUUAGGAACCUAUAACUGGUGCUGCUACCUGCAGUGGGUCCUACCCUGGCCUGCUGGCCUAUCCCUUGUACGUGCCUGGCUGCUGCAGGUGCCACUGGGGCAGGACGGGGCUGCCAGCAUGCUGCUGCCAGCAUGGCCGCUGCAAGGGAUGAGGUGAGGAGGGCCUGAGGAGCUGCCGCUCUGCUGCCUGUGGGUGCCGGGGAAGCUCCUGCUGUGCAGGGCUGGUUAUAAACCUGGGUCCCAUGUGAGGUGGAGGAGGAGAAGUGGCAGCCGAGGUCUGGCUGCUGCUUGGUGGCAGCAGGGAAGGGUCCAGAGGCUGGCAUGUUUCCCUCUGUGCUGCUGCAGUAGGGACUGGCAGGGCUGAAGCAGCACUGCUUUGGGUCGUGGCUUUCUGAGGGUGCUUGAGUGGUGGGGGCCCCACAGUUGCUGCUGUCUCUGUGCCUUCUUCCUUUGGCACUGCCAGCAGGCUCCUACCUUGCCCAGCAGCUGCUCACUGCAUGGGCUGGGCACCUGGUCUGCUCCUCAGGUGGCUCUCAUUUAGGUCUCCCUGCAGGGCAGAGGCAGUCACCUCUCAUCUCCUUAGGGCAACUCCUUGUUGGCAGUGUUCAGGCAGCUGUGGAUCAUCGCUCUUGAAACAUGGGUGAGAGUAGAAGAGUGACUGAAAAAUGCGAAGGAGGAGAGUUAGUUGCUGUCUGUUUGGAACUGGAAGACAGCAAAAUACAGGAAGUAAGACUUAAUAGCUGAAGGCAAAUAUGGGUAGUAAAAAGGUCUAUUGGUCAGAUUAAUCCCAGAGCUUGGGUUAAGUCAAACAAGAUAUGUUGCAAAUAUAUUGUAAUAAAUAGACUCAUCAUAUCCUGAUUUAUCUUUCUUUUCCGUGGGUUCAAAUUGGGAUAUAACUCAAAUCUAUUUUAUCUAUAUUUCUACUAUUCAGCAGUGCAACCUCUAAAAUACCCAGAAGCAGUCAGAGAAAGAUAUAAAGAUCAGAACACUGACUGACGUCCUCCUCUC